CAAUAAGCGGAGGAAAAGAAACUAACAAGGAUUCCCCUAGUAACUGCGAGUGAAGCGGGAAAAGCUCAAAUUUAAAAUCUGGCAGUCUAUGGCUGUCCGAGUUGUAAUCUAGAGAAGCGUUAUCCGCGCUGGACCGUGUACAAGUCUCCUGGAAUGGAGCGUCAUAGAGGGUGAGAAUCCCGUCUUUGACACGGACUACCAGGGCUUUGUGAUGCGCUCUCAAAGAGUCGAGUUGUUUGGGAAUGCAGCUCAAAAUGGGUGGUAAAUUCCAUCUAAAGCUAAAUAUUGGCGAGAGACCGAUAGCGAACAAGUACCGUGAGGGAAAGAUGAAAAGAACUUUGGAAAGAGAGUUAAACAGUACGUGAAAUUGCUGAAAGGGAAACGCUUGAAGUCAGUCGCGUUGUCCAGGGAUCAACCUUGCUUUUGCUUGGUGCACUUUCUGGUUGACGGGUCAGCAUCAAUUUUGACUAUUGGAAAAAGAUUAGGGGAAUGUGGCAUCUUUGGAUGUGUUAUAGCCCUUAGUUGCAUACAAUGGUUGGGAUUGAGGAACUCAGCACGCCGCAAGGCCGGGUUUUUAACCACGUACGUGCUUAGGAUGCUGGCAUAAUGGCUUUAAUCGACCCGUCUUGAAACACGGACCAAGGAGUCUAACAUGCCUGCGAGUGUUUGGGUGGAAAACCCGAGCGCGUAAUGAAAGUGAAAGUUGAGAUCCCUGUCGUGGGGAGCAUCGACGCCCGGACCAGACCUUUUGUGACGGUUCCGCGGUAGAGCAUGUAUGUUGGGACCCGAAAGAUGGUGAACUAUGCCUGAAUAGGGUGAAGCCAGAGGAAACUCUGGUGGAGGCUCGUAGCGAUUCUGACGUGCAAAUCGAUCGUCAAAUUUGGGUAUAGGGGCGAAAGACUAAUCGAACCAUCUAG
RNAcentral lists this ribosomal RNA (917 nucleotides) under Cortinarius sp. PDD 103692. RNAcentral's name for it is "eukaryotic LSU rRNA". It matches the Rfam family "Eukaryotic large subunit ribosomal RNA", at positions 44 to 947 of the family's 3401-position model. Lineage: Eukaryota; Fungi; Basidiomycota; Agaricomycetes; Agaricales; Cortinariaceae. The record is from RNAcentral.